Molecule: ribosomal RNA, 459 nt
Filed under: uncultured bacterium
Lineage: Bacteria
Description: partial 16S ribosomal RNA
Rfam family: Bacterial small subunit ribosomal RNA
Source: RNAcentral
CCUACGGGCGGCAGCAGUGAGGAAUAUUGGUCAAUGGGCGGAAGCCUGAACCAGCCAAGUCGCGUGCGGGAAGAAGGUACUGAGUAUUGUAAACUUCUUUUGCCAGGGGACAAAGGCGGCCACGGGUGGCCGUAAGAGGGUACCUGGAGAAAAAGCAUCGGCUAACUCCGUGCCAGCAGCCGCGGUAAUACGGAGGAUGCGAGCGUUAUCCGGUUUUAUUGGGUUUAAAGGGUGCGCAGGCGGCGUGUAAAGUCAGCGGUAAAAUGUCGGGGCUAAACCCCGGAUGGCCGUUGAAACUGGUUGGCUCGAGUUGGAGAGAGGUAUGCGGAAUUCGUGGUGUAGCGGUGAAAUGCAUAGAGAUCACGAAGAACCCCGAUUGCGAAGGCAGCAUACCGGCUCCAUACUGACGCUGAGGCACGAAAGCGUGGGGAGCGAACAGGAUUAGAUACCCCGGUAGUC